RNAcentral lists this ribosomal RNA (533 nucleotides) under uncultured bacterium. Its description in RNAcentral is "bacterial SSU rRNA". It matches the Rfam family "Bacterial small subunit ribosomal RNA", at positions 110 to 612 of the family's 1533-position model. The record is from RNAcentral.
GUAAUUGCAUUGGAAUACUUCCCAGGGUUAGUGGGGAAUAACCAGUCGAUACAUGUAUUGGCUAAUAGCCGUCAUACGUCUGCGAACGAGAAAGCGGGGGAUCGUAAGACCUCGUCCGCUAUUGGAUGAGCCAAUGUCGGAUUAUGCUAGUUGGCGUGGGGUAAUAGGCCUACCAAUGGCGACAAUCCGUAGCUGGUCUGAGAGGACGACCAGCCACACCGGAACUGAGACACGGUCCGGACUCCUACGGGAGGCAGCAGUGGGGAAUAUUGGACCAAUGGGGGAAACCCUGAUCCAGCGACGCCGUCGUGUGUGAAGAAGGCCUGCGGGUUGUACAAGCACUUUUAGUGGGGACAAAAAGUCAUGGGCGAAUACCCCGUUGAUCUUGAUUUAAGCUCACAGUAAAAAGCACCGGCUAACUCUGUGCCAGCAGCCGCGGUAAUACAGAGGGUGCGAGCGUUGAAUCGGAAUUACUGGGCGUAAAGCGCGCGUAGACGGUUUGGUAAUGUCAGAUGUGAAAUCCCUGGGCUCAA